AGUCGAGGAUCUUCGGCAAUGGGCGCAAGCCUGACCGAGCGACGCCGCGUGUGCGAUGAAGGCCUUCGGGUUGUAAAGCACUGUCGAGAGGGAGAAAAGCGAAAGCUUGAUCUAUCUCUGGAGGAAGCACGGGCUAAGUUCGUGCCAGCAGCCGCGGUAAGACGAACCGUGCGAACGUUGUUCGGAAUCACUGGGCUUAAAGGGCGCGUAGGCGGGUCUUCAAGUUUGGGGUGAAAUCCUCCGGCUCAACCGGAGAACUGCCUCGAAUACUGACGAUCUCGAGGGGGAUAGGGGCAUGCGGAACUACGGGUGGAGCGGUGAAAUGCGUUGAUAUCCGUAGGAACUCCGGUGGCGAAGGCGGCGUGCUGGAUCCCUUCUGACGCUGAGGCGCGAAAGCCAGGGGAGCAAA
This 409-nucleotide ribosomal RNA is filed under the name uncultured Gemmata sp. RNAcentral describes it as "bacterial SSU rRNA". It matches the Rfam family "Bacterial small subunit ribosomal RNA", at positions 353 to 772 of the family's 1533-position model. Lineage: Bacteria; Pseudomonadati; Planctomycetota; Planctomycetia; Gemmatales; Gemmataceae. The record is from RNAcentral.